RNAcentral lists this ribosomal RNA (532 nucleotides) under uncultured bacterium. RNAcentral's name for it is "partial 16S ribosomal RNA". It matches the Rfam family "Bacterial small subunit ribosomal RNA", at positions 355 to 881 of the family's 1533-position model. The record is from RNAcentral.
UGGGGAAUUUUGGACAAUGGGGGAAACCCUGAUCCAGCCAUCCCGCGUGUGCGAUGAAGGCCUUCGGGUUGUAAAGCACUUUUGGCAGGAAAGAAACGUCGCGGGUUAAUACCCCGCGAAACUGACGGUACCUGCAGAAUAAGCACCGGCUAACUACGUGCCAGCAGCCGCGGUAAUACGUAGGGUGCAAGCGUUAAUCGGAAUUACUGGGCGUAAAGCGUGCGCAGGCGGUUCGGAAAGAAAGAUGUGAAUCCCAGAGCUUAACUUUGGAACUGCAUUUUUAACUACCGGGCUAGAGUGUGUCAGAGGGAGGUGGAAUUCCGCGUGUAGCAGUGAAAUGCGUAGAUAUGCGGAGGAACACCGAUGGCGAAGGCAGCCUCCUGGGAUAACACUGACGCUCAUGCACGAAAGCGUGGGGAGCAAACAGGAUUAGAUACCCUGGUAGUCCACGCCCUAAACGAUGUCAACUAGCUGUUGGGGCCUUCGGGCCUUGGUAGCGCAGCUAACGCGUGAAGUUGACCGCCUGGGGAGU